RNA transcript from Solanum stenotomum, 1662 nucleotides. It is a transcript of the gene named putative RING-type E3 ubiquitin transferase C3H69, with no coding region annotated. NCBI's taxonomy places the organism in Eukaryota, Viridiplantae, Streptophyta, Magnoliopsida, Solanales, Solanaceae. The transcript has 8 exons. The record is from RefSeq and is a predicted model, not a curated record.
UUUUUAUUAAACCUAAUAUUUCAAAGUAGAAGUAAAAAGAAAAUCCAACCGCCACCUCAGGGUUGGACUGUCAGAACUCAGAGGCAAAGGUGGAAGCCAUGUCCAAAAGGGUUCUUUGCAAGUUCUUUGCACAUGGGGCAUGUCUGAAGGGGGAUCAUUGUGAGUUUUCACAUGAUUGGAACAAUCCUUCUAAUAAUGUAUGCACCUACUACCAAAAAGGAGCUUGUGCUUAUGGAAGCAGGUGUAGAUAUGAUCAUGUUAAACUGUCUCGAUCACAGCCUUCAGCUCAAUCUUCAGCACAACCUCAACAAUAUCUGCUUUCAAGUUCUGCACCUACCAAUGUGCCUCCUGGAAUGGGUGCACAUAAUGCAGAUGUUGUGCCAGGUAUUUCUACUGAGUAUUUAGCUUCAAGCAGACCUUAUGAUGCUUCCAGCCAACCAGCAUGGAACCAAAAGUCGGAGCUUCAAGAUGCAUUGGAGAUUGAUGACAUGAUUGAGUUAAACAGUGAUAAUCCAGCUGAUCGGUCAAUCUGUGCUUUUGCUGCUGCUGGUAAUUGUCCUCGGGGAGAAAAGUGUCCUCGUGUUCAUGGAGAUAUGUGUCCAACCUGCGGAAAGCAUUGCUUGCAUCCUUUCAGGGCUGAGGAAAGAGAGGAGCAUAUAAAAACAUGUGAGAACAAGCAAAAGCACCUUGAUUUAUUGAAGCGCAGUCAAGAAAUAGAAUGCAGUGUAUGCCUUGAACGUGUUCUUUCCAAGUCAACAGCAGCUGAGAGGAAGUUUGGGAUCCUUUCUGAGUGUGAUCAUCCGUUUUGCGUAUCGUGUAUAAGGAAUUGGCGUGGCAGUUCUUCCUCUGGGAUGGAUGUUAAUUCUGCACUGAGGGCUUGCCCCAUAUGCCGAAAGCUUUCAUAUUUUGUCAUUCCAAGUGUUAUUUGGUACUUCACAAAAGAAGAAAAGGAAGAAAUAGUUGACAACUACAAAAACAAACUCAGAUCUAUCGACUGCAAGCACUUUGACUUUGGGAAUGGGACUUGUCCAUUUGGGACUAGCUGUUUCUACAAGCAUCAACACCGUGAUGGUCGUCUGGAGGAAGUGGUACUACGCCAUCUUGGUUCUGAAGAUGGUAGCACAGUAAUCGCUAAAAAUAUCAGGCUCUCGGACUUCCUUAGGAAUUUGGAAAUUAGGUGAACAGUUUCUUUUAGUAAUUUCAAGAUGGGGUUAUGAUAUAAAUGAACAUUUCUUCAUGUCUCGAAAGCCAAUCAAUUCACUCAGAGGCAAUGCUUAUUUCAAUUGCUUAUCUGUUGCCUUCAGGAUGAUCAGCAAUUGCGAACAUUAUGUUAUAUACAAGAGUUCUUUAUAACACUUUAGUAAACUUCCCCUGGUGGAUAUUGGCUGCUGAGAUGGGCUUGGAUUUAACUGUUUGUGAGUGGGUAUACAAAAAAACAUAAAAGAAAGUUGAUUUAUUGCCGAUUACAGGUCCUGCUAAUGUCCAGGGUGAUAAUUCUUAAAAUGACCUCUUUUUCUUCUUCUUUGGUGAUACACAUUGUAUAUCUGAUCUUGGGAUAGAUUUUUCCUUUGUUAUUACUAUUUUAUUUGAAAGCCUUGUAUUUAAAAGUCUAAAAUAUUUGAUGAACAGGGAGUGAGAUAAAAGAUAUUAAAGGAGGGUAUA